This 500-nucleotide ribosomal RNA is filed under the name uncultured bacterium. RNAcentral's name for it is "partial 16S ribosomal RNA". It matches the Rfam family "Bacterial small subunit ribosomal RNA", at positions 30 to 522 of the family's 1533-position model. The record is from RNAcentral.
AUUGAACGCUGGCAGCAGGCUUAACCCAUGCAAGUCUAGCGGGGGAAGGUAGCUUGCUACCGGACCUAGCGGCGGACGGGUGAGUAAUGCUUAGGAAUCUGCCUAUUAGUGGGGGACGACAUCUCGAGAGGGAGGCUAAUACCGCAUACGUCCUACGGGAGACAGCAGGGGAUCUGCGGACCUUGCGCUAAUAGCUAAGCCUAAGUCGGAUUAGGUAGUUGGUGGGGUAAAGGCCUACCAAGGCGACGAUCUGUAGCGGGUCUGAGAGGAUGAUCCGCCACACUGGGACUGAGACACGGCCCAGACUCCUACGGGAGGCAGCAGUGGGGAAUAUUGGACAAUGGGGGGAACCCUGAUCCAGCCAUGCCGCGUGUGUGAAGAAGGCCUUAUGGUUGUAAAGCACUUUAAGCGAGGAGGAGGCUACUUUAGUUAAUACCUAGAGAUGGUGGACGUUACUCGCAGAAUAAGCACCGGCUAACUCUGUGCCAGCCGCCGCAGUA